Molecule: long non-coding RNA, 2133 nt
Organism: Apus apus (common swift)
Lineage: Eukaryota; Metazoa; Chordata; Aves; Apodiformes; Apodidae
Exons: 3
Source: RefSeq, a predicted model, not a curated record
CGGGCCGGGCCGGGCCCAGUCCCCUCCCGGGGCGGCUUUCGAGGCAGCGGCCCGAGCCCGGUGGGGCUGCCCCAGCGCCCUGAAGGGCGGGGGCGCGGCAGCUGGCGGCCCGGCCCGGUGACGGGUGUCGGGUCGGUUCCGGGCCCAGCGGGAGGGCGGAAGGCUGGACUCGAGAGAAAACGACCAGGGCCGCAGCGGCAGCGUUUGCAGCCGAGCGCCAGGCCAGGGCUGGCCGGGGCUUUCCGGUUCCACAGAGCGUCACGGGUUUUCAAGCAGCGCGGUGCUACCUCCAGACUUCUUGCUGAGUGUUUUGAGAUCCUAUAAGUAUUUAGGCCUGGUAAAACUGUGACUCUGUCUCUCCUUCAGGGAUUCCUUUGCGGAAAACACGGAGCCCUGCAGGCGGGUUGGCGUUAUGGAAGGGCCCCAGAGAGCUAAACAAAUUGCCAAGGUUAUAACCUGUGAUAUGAGCAAAUAAGAAUCACAGAAUCCCAGAACCCUAGGGGUUGGAAGGGACCUGGAAAGAUCAUCCCGUCCAGCCCCACCUUGUGUGCUCAGCCUGAGUUUAUAACAGCACGACUGAAACAGAGUGAAGUUAGAGAAGGGGAAGAGUUAAAACAGAGGCUGUCCCUAGAGAGAAACCACCUCAGUUCAUCUCGACGGCCCAGCCAGCAGGAGUUACCUACAUGAGAAGUUUUUCCACUAACAGGCUGGAUGGGAGGGGUGGACGAGCUGAUGAGAACCUGUCACUGCUGACAAAGCAAAGGGAGGGUCAGCUGCUCUGUAAGGGAGUAGGCUGACACGAGCUGACUAGAGAGAUACUGCAGGCUGUGGGACAUCGUGCUCAGCCAGAAAGCUGGGGGAGAGGAGGUUUUGCAAAGUUGCCGUUGCUUGCAGACUGGCUGGGCAUCAGCCUGCUGGUGAGAGGUGCAUAUACUCUAUAAUUGCAUACAGAAGGAAACCCCAGGUUGAUCAAAGGGCAAGAGGCUUCUGCAUUUGCAGUCAGUAACAAGUGCAUGGAGGUUCCCGGUGUCUCCGGCCACGACGGGCCCAGCAGGUGCACAGAGGCAGAGCUGCAAGCAAGAACAGUGGUACAAUGUAGACCUUACUGUUUUGAAAACACAGAGGGGGGGGAGUAUGAAACUAUUAAGGAAAUAUGUACGAAAUUCGUUGAGGACUACAGAUCCAUGGCAAAACCCAAGGAAUUCAGUCAUGAAGAACUUUUCCCCCCGUGGGGUGUUACGAUCCGCUCCGCUUUGGCACAACUCUGGGUAAAACCUUCACCUUCCAGCCUCCAGAACAGCUGGGUUACUUUUUUUAUGUCAUCCAGAAACAUGCCCUCUGUCACCCUUUCUCCUAGACCACCUUUCAGAAGUGCUUCCUGACCUUUGUUUCAAGGUUUUCUGUUUGAAAUGCUGGCACAAGCUGAGCUGUGGCCCAGUCAACAGCUCCUGCGAGGGACGUACAUGACGCUGUCACGUAAAGCAGCAUCAAUUAUUUCAACUGCAAACCAGGUAAUGGUCCAUUCAAUCUGCUACAUUCCUCUGUGUGGUGAGAAAGCUUUUUAUUUCCUGCAUCGGAGGAAACAGAGCAGUGUGCAGAAAGCCACAGAAAGAGCCAUUUUGCUCUUAUCACACCCAUCUUGCUCAGUGUCUGACUUUCAGAUUUGUAUUUCUGUCCGUGUUUCUCCUGGCUUCAGUUUCAGAGUUUUAAAAUUUUGAAUGUUCACAUUGACAAAUACCCAGGAGCUCAAAUCCCAAUUUAUUAAUGCCUCAAAUCUUAUUAUUUUUUAACAAAUCUCAUUAGAUUAGGACCUAACUGGUGAUUUGUUAUGUUUAGGCUUAUUAAAACGGAUAAUAAUACAACCAAUGUAAAUCCCUUCUUUAUAUAAACAAGCAAUUAGAAACAAUGUAAGCAGUUACAAGCUAUAUAAAUAUUUUUUCAUUACUUUUGUGAUAAAUAUGAUUAAAUUUUCCCUGCAGAGGGUUGAUUAUAAAUCAAUCACAAUCAGAUGUCUCUGCAGAAGCAUAAAGAGGAGACAGCCUGGCUUUCCUCACUCAAGCCAAUACAGGAUGAGCAUGUUUUACCUCCAAGACAGACUUAAUGGAAACAGAAGGAAUAAAAUGUUAAACUGAA